RNAcentral lists this transfer RNA (73 nucleotides) under Candidatus Woesearchaeota archaeon. RNAcentral's name for it is "tRNA-Arg". It matches the Rfam family "tRNA". From Rfam's summary of the family: Transfer RNA (tRNA) molecules are approximately 80 nucleotides in length. Lineage: Archaea; Nanobdellati; Candidatus Woesearchaeota. The record is from RNAcentral.
GCCCUCGUAGCGUAGUGGAUAACGCAUCAGUCUUCUAAACUGACAUACCUUGGUUCGAUUCCAAGCGAGGGCG